RNAcentral lists this long non-coding RNA (463 nucleotides) under Anas platyrhynchos platyrhynchos (common mallard). Its description in RNAcentral is "lncRNA (ENSAPLG00000018140.1)". Lineage: Eukaryota; Metazoa; Chordata; Aves; Anseriformes; Anatidae. The record is from RNAcentral.
CAGCAUGAAAUGAAGGCCAUGAAGUGAUGGUAAACCAUUUCUUGUGUCUGCCAUAGCAAAUCAAGUGCUUUCCUGUCCAUCUCUCUGAAGCAAUUUUGCCAGUUCCACAAAUGGAGUAGCCUAUUUUGACAAGAAACAAAUCAAGACACGAUGAAUCAGCAACAUUUUUAAAUGGCCUGCUUUAAAAUGCUUUACUUCUCGCUCAAGGAGACAAAUUUGCUCUUGCAGCCUAGUCCCAGAGGUUUCCCUUAGAAAGAGAGACAGCUCAGUUAUUUUCCUUCCUCAUCCAGAGGGGUGCCAAACCCAUAUUUCCAAUACACAGGUAUGUGCCCCAGACCUUAAACACCCAGCUGUGUUGGGUAGAGAAAACCUCCACCAUCCCAUGCAACCUUCAGCCAAAAGCCCAAAGGAGGGGUGUGGUGGUUUUACCGUACUGGGCAGCUAAACCCCACAACCGCUCUCU